RNA transcript from Oncorhynchus nerka (sockeye salmon), 2081 nucleotides. It is a transcript of the gene named small nuclear RNA activating complex, polypeptide 1b, with no coding region annotated. The record is from RefSeq and is a predicted model, not a curated record. NCBI's taxonomy places the organism in Eukaryota, Metazoa, Chordata, Actinopteri, Salmoniformes, Salmonidae. The transcript has 11 exons.
AUGACGUCAUCAGCAAUGCGCCUGUGGUCGUUGAUGAGUCGAACUAGCUGGUUAAUUGCAAUGUGUUGGGACAAUUUUCCUUGCUUUAUUUAACCAAGCAGCCAACACAUUGCGGAAAAGUUGUUGAUAAUGGAUUACUGCAAAGACCGUCUUAAAGCAGACUGUGAGAUGUUGCUGAGGAGAUUUCAGCAGACAGAAUCGGUGCGAUACGAGCUAUUCUUGACCAUAUGGAAAGAGAUGAAGUUCCAAAGUAUUUUCUAUGGAAAAAUGGAAAACAAUCUAAAGAGGCUAUUCAGUCGUGAAGCCCUGGCUACAGCGUACACAUACUUUCUGCCACCAUACACCUUUCAGAUUAGAGUUGGGGCCUUGUACCUGCUCUAUGGGCUAUACCACUGCCAACUGUCCACACCAAAGGAAAAGACAAGGCUAGCCCUGAAGGACUGGGAGGAAGUGAAUAAGUUCCAACAGGAUGCAGUUAGUGCCCAGCACUUUGAUGUGGUCUACAUCAUCAGACAGCUCAUCUCACAAAAAGCCUUCUACUUCACUGUCAUGCCCACGCCACUGAUUUUCAAUGUGAAGAAGAGCAACAAGAACUCAAGAUCCGUGUGUGAGGAUUUCCUUGAGCGAGCGGCCCGGCCACAGGAGCUGGUCAGCAUGGACAUGCUUGAGGAGCUGGCGAACGUACAUGAGCACUAUGAGCAGGUGAAGGCAUCCAUUUCAGCCAAGCCAGGCCAGCCAGACCCAUCCAUCAAUCUGAUCCACAAGAACUUGGUGCCACGGCUACACAAUACUGUCGUGGGAUUCUACAACUGGCAGAAGGCUCAGGGUUCGGAAGAUAGUGUAGAUGGAGAUAGCGGCGAGGGAACUUCAAAUAAGCAAGAGAGUUCCCAGCGAGCUCAGCUUCUUGCAUCCAUCAAGUCUAAAUCAUAUGGUCAGAUAGUGGAGGCCUCCAAGGCCCGGCGACACCGGCAGGUUGAGAGGGAUGAGGUGGUGCUUGCUAAGGAGACGUCGCACCAUAAGAGACACAAGUCACUCAAACAAAGGACCAGUCAUCUGACCCAAGGCGCUGCAAGGGAAGAAGCUCUGAAAACCACCAGCCUGUGGUGCAUGAGUCAACUUGAAGCUCAAGUCUUGAAGAAGUUCCCACAUAUGCUGAGCACUUGUUGGCUGCUUUUCCUUCACUCUGUGGUCAGACUCAUCCCAAACCAUCUCAAUUGGGUAGAAGUCGGGUGAUUGUGGAGGCCAGGUCAUCUGAUGCAGCACUACUUCUUGGUCAAAUAGCGCUUCCACAGCCUAGAGAAACAACGAAAAAGAAAAAGAAAAGGAAAUUCAAAUGGUGACAUCACAGAAGAGGAAAAAGUUACCGACGAGUUGGGUUGGUUUAGAGUCAGUCAGACAUCAAUCCCUGUGUACAACCACCAUCAUCAUCAUAUUUGGUACAACUGAUUUUAUCCAGCAUACAUCUGGUUUCACCAUAGGUGUUGUUUAAUCACUCAAAAUGCAAUGCUUUUAAAGUCUGGCACAUAAGGAAGUUAGUCUCAAGGUGUUACCCUUCAUUUAUGAAGGCUUCGAAGACAUGCAAAGAUGUUGUUCAUGUCGCAGUUAAACAUUUUAAUUGUAUUGUGCUGGUAUCAGUCAAUGAUAUGGAUAAUUUGUUUCCAUCACUGACAAUUUUAUUGACUACUUGAUUCUUGAAAAUAUUGAGAAAAAAGUUAAAUUACGUCGAAAACCAAGUUCCCUUUCAAAUGCCUAUGAUGUUUUUGAUGCUGUUGUUGGAACAUCAAAUGUUAUUACUGUUAUGGAGUUAUGAGUUCAGAGAACAUAAUGUUGUCAAAUAUGUAUGUCUCUUUAUCAAAAUGUAUUGUUCACGUGCCGAAUACAACAGGUGUGGACUUUACAGUGAAAUGCUUACUUACAAGCCCAUUCCCAACAUUGCAAUUAAAAAGUAAGACAAAUAUUUGAAAUAAGGAUAUAGUAACACAAUAAGAAACAGUAACAAGGCUAGGUACAAGCAGUAUGAGUUCUGAGGUCUCUGUUUACAUGACGUCACUUUAAAAAAAUAAAAAUUCAUUUUUACAGAA